RNAcentral lists this ribosomal RNA (58 nucleotides) under Lodderomyces parapsilosis. RNAcentral's name for it is "Candida parapsilosis partial 26S ribosomal RNA". The record is from RNAcentral. Lineage: Eukaryota; Fungi; Ascomycota; Pichiomycetes; Serinales; Debaryomycetaceae.
CGACCUCAAAUCAGGUAGGACUACCCGCUGAACUUAAGCAUAUCAAUAAGCCGGAGGA